ACUUCUUAUAAUUAGCAGAAUAUUCACUCAUGGAGAUGCUAAAGAGGAGAUUUUAUCCAGAUCGGUAAGACAAGCACAACCGUUAAGACAAACCGCUAUGGCAUUAGAUCAAAUUUUUGAGUAUCUUCGGCUAAUGGCCAUAGAGGAAAGGCGAAUGGCUGAAGAAGCUUUGAAAGCUCUCAGAAACGGGACUGAAAGUGGAUGAUCAGUAACAACAAGUGUUCAACAACUAUUAAGGGUGAAGGGUUCCAUGACUAUGAAAAAAGUUUGAAGCUUAUGAAACAAUUUUCAAAUCCAAAUGUAAAGUUUUAUGGAAAUUAAAUAAUUUUCAAAAA
Parasteatoda tepidariorum (common house spider) is the source of this 335-nucleotide non-coding RNA. The record is from RefSeq and is a predicted model, not a curated record. NCBI's taxonomy places the organism in Eukaryota, Metazoa, Arthropoda, Arachnida, Araneae, Theridiidae.